Molecule: ribosomal RNA, 313 nt
Filed under: uncultured bacterium
Lineage: Bacteria
Description: partial 16S ribosomal RNA
Rfam family: Bacterial small subunit ribosomal RNA
Source: RNAcentral
UAGGGAAUCUUCCACAAUGGACGCAAGUCUGAUGGAGCAACGCCGCGUGAGUGAAGAAGGCUUUCGGGUCGUAAAACUCUGUUAUUGAAGAAGAACGUGCGUGACAGUAACUGGUCAUGCAGUGACGGUAUUCAAUCAGAAAGUCACGGCUAACUACGUGCCAGCAGCCGCGGUAAUACGUAGGUGGCAAGCGUUGUCCGGAUUUAUUGGGCGUAAAGCGAGUGCAGGCGGUCUUUUAAGUCUGAUGUGAAAGCCUUCGGCUUAACCGAAGAAGGGCAUCGGAAACUGGGAGACUUGAGUGCAGAAGAGGAGA